ACGCUGGCGGCAGGCUUAACACAUGCAAGUCGAACGGUAACAGGGAUUAGCUUGCUAAUUUGCUGACGAGUGGCGGACGGGUGAGUAAUGCUUGGGAAUCUGGCUUAUGGAGGGGGAUAACUACGGGAAACUGUAGCUAAUACCGCGUAAAAUCUUAGGAUUAAAGGGUGGGACUUUCGAGCCAUCUGCCAUAAGAUGAGCCCAAGUGGGAUUAGGUAGUUGGUUAGGUAAAGGCUGACCAAGCCGACGAUCUCUAGCUGGUCUGAGAGGAUGACCAGCCACACUGGAACUGAGACACGGUCCAGACUCCUACGGGAGGCAGCAGUGGGGAAUAUUGCACAAUGGGGGGAACCCUGAUGCAGCCAUGCCGCGUGAAUGAAGAAGGCCUUCGGGUUGUAAAGUUCUUUCGGUGACGAGGAAGGUUGAUAGGUUAAUAGCCUAUCAAAUUGACGUUAAUCACAGAAGCACCGGCUAACUCCGUGCCAGCAGCCGCGGUAAUACGGGGGGUGCGAGCGUUAAUCGGAAUAACUGGGCGUAAAGGGCACGCAGGCGGUGACUUAAGUGAGAUGUGAAAGCCCCGAGCUUAACUUGGGAAUUGCAUUUCAUACUGGGUCGCUAGAGUACUUUAGGGAGGGGUAGAAUUCCACGUGUAGCGGUGAAAUGCGUAGAGAUGUGGAGGAAUACCGAAGGCGAAGGCAGCCCCUUGGGAAUGUACUGACGCUCAUGUGCGAAAGCGUGGGGAGCAAACAGGAUUAGAUACCCUGGUAGUCCACGCUGUAAACGAUGUCGAUUUGGGGAUUGGGCUUUGAGCUUGGUGCCCGUAGCUAACGUGAUAAAUCGACCGCCUGGGGAGUACGGCCGCAAGGUUAAAACUCAAAUGAAUUGACGGGGGCCCGCACAAGCGGU
Molecule: ribosomal RNA, 906 nt
Filed under: uncultured bacterium
Lineage: Bacteria
Description: bacterial SSU rRNA
Rfam family: Bacterial small subunit ribosomal RNA
Source: RNAcentral